Molecule: ribosomal RNA, 158 nt
Filed under: Medeolaria farlowii
Lineage: Eukaryota; Fungi; Ascomycota; Leotiomycetes; Medeolariales; Medeolariaceae
Description: 5.8S ribosomal RNA
Rfam family: 5.8S ribosomal RNA
About the family: 5.8S ribosomal RNA (5.8S rRNA) is a component of the large subunit of the eukaryotic ribosome. It is transcribed by RNA polymerase I as part of the 45S precursor that also contains 18S and 28S rRNA.
Source: RNAcentral
AACUUUCAACAAUGGAUCUCUUGGCUCUGGCAUCGAUGAAGAACGCAGCGAAAUGCGAUAAGUAAUGUGAAUUGCAGAAUCCAGUGAAUCAUUGAAUCUUUGAACGCACAUUGCGCCCUCUGGUAUUCCGGAGGGCAUGCCUGUCCGAGCGUCAUUAU